Molecule: small RNA, 41 nt
Filed under: Sinorhizobium meliloti 2011
Lineage: Bacteria; Pseudomonadati; Pseudomonadota; Alphaproteobacteria; Hyphomicrobiales; Rhizobiaceae
Description: putative ncRNA
Source: RNAcentral
AAGCGCUCACGCAGCCACACGAAUCACGAUAAGAGCGCAAC